Molecule: long non-coding RNA, 276 nt
Organism: Phacochoerus africanus (Common warthog)
Lineage: Eukaryota; Metazoa; Chordata; Mammalia; Artiodactyla; Suidae
Exons: 2
Source: RefSeq, a predicted model, not a curated record
GUUGUGUCACAGCAGGAACUCCAGGAAAUUAACAGGAAGAAGAUUACUGCUUUCCCCCCAAGCCGGAGGAAGGAAGACUUCUCGCCCAGUAACAGCCCAGACAAUAAGAGAUGUAACAAGUCAGCCAAUGAAAAGCCACUGAACUACCUCCCCCUUCUCCUCUACAAAAGAAGGUUCCGCUCCUUUGUUCUCUCCUGGCUUGUGGCUUGCUGUAGGGUCUGUGUUCCAAAUUUUAAUUCUCAGCUGUUCCCAAAUACACCCAUUUUCCUGGUAAAA